UACAGAGGUCCCAAGCGUUGUUCGGAUUCAUUGGGCGUAAAGGGCGCGUAGGCGGCUUUAUAAGUCGGGGGUGAAAGCCUGUGGCUCAACCACAGAAUUGCCUUCGAUACUGUAGAGCUUGAGACCGGAAGAGGUAAGUGGAACUGCGAGUGUAGAGGUGAAAUUCGUAGAUAUUCGCAAGAACACCAGUGGCGAAGGCGGCUUACUGGUCCGGUUCUGACGCUGAGGCGCGAAAGCGUGGGGAGCAAACAGG
RNAcentral lists this ribosomal RNA (253 nucleotides) under uncultured bacterium. RNAcentral's name for it is "partial 16S ribosomal RNA". It matches the Rfam family "Bacterial small subunit ribosomal RNA", at positions 524 to 776 of the family's 1533-position model. The record is from RNAcentral.